GCCAGGGUAGCUCAGUGGUUAGAGCAGCGCAUUCAUAACGCGAAGAUCGUGGGUUCGAAUCCCACCCCUGGCA
RNAcentral lists this transfer RNA (73 nucleotides) under Pseudomonadota bacterium. Its description in RNAcentral is "tRNA-Met". It matches the Rfam family "tRNA". From Rfam's summary of the family: Transfer RNA (tRNA) molecules are approximately 80 nucleotides in length. Their secondary structure includes four short double-helical elements and three loops (D, anti-codon, and T loops). Further hydrogen bonds mediate the characteristic L-shaped molecular structure. tRNAs have two regions of fundamental functional importance: the anti-codon, which is responsible for specific mRNA codon recognition, and the 3' end, to which the tRNAs corresponding amino acid is attached (by aminoacyl-tRNA synthetases). tRNAs cope with the degeneracy of the genetic code in two manners: having more than one tRNA (with a specific anti-codon) for a particular amino acid; and 'wobble' base-pairing, i.e. permitting non-standard base-pairing at the 3rd anti-codon position. Lineage: Bacteria; Pseudomonadati; Pseudomonadota. The record is from RNAcentral. RNAcentral also lists the same sequence under 1 other name.